RNAcentral lists this unclassified non-coding RNA (311 nucleotides) under uncultured Sordariomycetes. RNAcentral's name for it is "sequence contains ITS1". The stretch from base 1 to 105 matches the Rfam family "5.8S ribosomal RNA", at positions 50 to 154 of the family's 154-position model. The record is from RNAcentral. Lineage: Eukaryota; Fungi; Ascomycota; Sordariomycetes.
GAAAUGCGAUAAGUAAUGUGAAUUGCAGAAUUCAGCGAAUCAUCGAAUCUUUGAACGCACAUUGCGCCCGCCAGCACUCUGGCGGGCAUGCCUGUUCGAGCGUCAUUUCCACCAUCAGGCCCCCGGGCUUGUGUUGGGGCCCUGCGGCUGCCCGCAGGCCCUGAAAACCAGUGGCGGGCUCGCCGCCGCGCCCGAGCGUAGUAGAUCGUCCCUCUCGCUCGGGGCGCGCCGCGGCGUCCCCUGCCGUUAAACACACCACCAAAAACAGAAAGGUUGACCUCGGAUCAGGUAGGAAUACCCGCUGAACUUAA